RNAcentral lists this long non-coding RNA (903 nucleotides) under Sorghum bicolor (sorghum). Its description in RNAcentral is "long non-coding RNA (SBIC_LNC005951)". The record is from RNAcentral. Lineage: Eukaryota; Viridiplantae; Streptophyta; Magnoliopsida; Poales; Poaceae.
UAGGAGAGGAUCAGAGGAAGGGCAUGUGACGGUUGCCGCAUCUUGCGGUGCCGACGCCGACAGCUGCUGCUGAGCAGAACUGCGAAAUCAUUCUGGGCACGUUCUUGCGUCGUGGAUUCGCGAUCAAUGGCUGCCAACUAUAUUCUUCUUUCUUGAAUAUUCCAACCAGUCUUUUAUAUUUAUUAAUACAGGAAAAAAACAAUUGGGAUCUUCGAACCAAUCUUACUGCUGUACUACUAAAUUUUCAACCAAAGCAACCGCUGGUCUUGUUUCAGUUUUAUUUAUAGAUAGAAAAGUAAAAGAAAUCGUGGAAAUACCUUUUUUCCUCCUCUAUAAUUUUGAUGGGUUCAGAACUUUCAGAGACCAUUGACGCUGAGGCCAAACUGCUAGCUAGGUCAUACUAGUUUGUCAAUCAAUAGAGAGGGAAAAGGGGGGAAAAAAAGGAAGGGGAAGCAAAGUCAGCAGCGCAUGUCUUGAACUCCGGCCGUGCAGGUGCAGGUGUGGCUAGCCCAAGGACCUCAUGACGCCGACGACGAAAUGCAGGAUGCAGUCGUCGUCGCCGCCGGCGGCGUCGAGCAUGUCGUCGCAGACCAGGCGCUCCAGCGCGGGGUCCCUCGGCAGCGCCCCGGCGUGGUACAGCACGGUCGCCGCCGUCUCGGACACCGGCCGGGUCGCCACGCACGCCGCCAGCCUCGCGACCGCCCGGAGGAACAGCGGCAGGAGGCCCUGCUUGUGCCGUGCACCGUGCACCGUGCGCGCACGCAACAACGCCGACGCGCGCGUUAGCAAACUGAUAUAGGUAUUAGGUAGCACAAAAUGCAGUGAGAACGAAACCACGUGCUCACCAUGCGAGAUCGUCGCCGGUCGGCUGCGUUCGACGACGACGACGGCGAUGCAUGUGAG